UCACAUUUUAAUGUAAAAGCUUAUAACUAGGAGGUACUUUACUCCAAUCUAUUUGUACGUACUUAAAGAUACAAAGUAAUCUAAUGUACAGUCACGGAAUGAAAAGGUUCGUCACCUUAGUGUCGGUUUUCGCUUGCACUAGGUACUGUAAGAGUCAAACCUGCCAACAUAACAGUGCAAGAAACAGUGCUGCUAACAUUUAAAUAAAUAUGACGUUUGCUAACGAAUAAGGUUUUGCUUGUUUAUUUUUCUAUCCUAUCAGUGCAAUGUUACAAAAUGUAGUUUUUUUUAUUUAAUAGAUAAUGGCAGGUUGAACCAACAAGAAGGUUUUAGUUUAUCAAUCAUAAUAAUCUUCUUGACAAGUUAAAUC
Molecule: long non-coding RNA, 370 nt
Organism: Ostrinia nubilalis (European corn borer)
Lineage: Eukaryota; Metazoa; Arthropoda; Insecta; Lepidoptera; Crambidae
Exons: 2
Source: RefSeq, a predicted model, not a curated record